CAAGCAUGAUGGACCAAUAGCUAGAAUAUGUUCCAAGUUUGUGUAUAAAUAGACGAUAUCCUCCUCAACCAAACAACAUCACUGCAAACUUACUACAUUCUACAUAAGUAAUUCCCAAGUUCAUCGCUAAGCAACAAAAUGGCUCAACAAGUCGCCCAGAAGCAUAUGGUUGAACAAUACGGACCUUAUGGUUCUCAAUGCCCCGAAAAUUACAGCUUUAAACUUCAAGAAGGUGAAACUAUCAAGGAAGUCAUCGUAAGGCAUGGCUUCAUUGUUGACGCUAUUGGCUUCGUCGUAGCCAAGCCUUGUGGAGGUACCUACACCAAGAUGUUUGGUGGCAUCAGUUGUCAUGCCAAGGAGUCAAGGAUUGCACUCAAAUGUGGUGAAAAGAUAACCCAGAUUUCUGGCACAUACGGAAACUAUAAGUACCAGAACAAUCAAUGCACCAUUGCUACGUUGAAGAUCCACACCAACUUAUGCCCAACUGGUUAUGGACCAUAUGGACAAGGAAAGGGAGUCGAUUGUCCACGUGCUUUUGCAUCGCCAUGCCCAAUUGACGGUCCUGUUGUUGGAGUGUUUGGAAGGCACAACAACUACCUCGAGUCUGUUGGGAUUUUCGUCCAGAAGAAGGAUUGCCCAUGCGCUUAAGUAUGAUAGCCUGCAGCUCUCAGCAAACAAUAUGAAAAUGUCACGUGAAUUUUCUUUGUUUUCAAUAAGCCACAUAUCUACCAAGUAUAAGGUGGCCUCCCAAGAGUAAUAUCUUGGGUGUUUGUUGUAUCGUUCUUCGUUUAACUAGAGUAUAAUAUAUUUAUGUAUCUUGUCUAGCUUGUUGCCUUUUUGUUAUGAAGUACUCCCUAUGUUCCGGAAUACUCGCAUGUGUUUCCUUAUAAGCCGUUUCGGAAUACUUGCACCAUUUCUUUAAAUGACAUAUUUUUCUAAUUUUAUAUUGUUUAUCUCACUUACCUAAGGUCUCACUUGUAUUCUAACAUCUAAAAGAACAUUAAAAAAACUCACACCUCCCCCACCACUCUCAAAAAGUUGACACAUUUCCCACUAACUAUAUUAAAAAAAAGCACCCAAUAUCAACUAACACCUAAUUAAAUAAUACGGAGUAAGUCAAUAAAUUGUCUUAAACUACAUUCCGGUCAAAUCGGUGCAAGUGUCCCGGAAUGGAGGUUGUAUUGCUUAUGUUAUUUUGAUUCCUCAACUUCGACAUUUACCAUUGUCAACACGAAAUUUAACCAUUAAUCAAAUUUAAAAAUAAUUAAAAUGUCAAUCUUAACACAAAACCCUUGUUAUGAUGAAAAAUAUUGAAACAAUUCUAAAUUUCGGGAAAAACGGUUAAAUACAGGUCUGGGUUGCGCCGGUCAUCAAGAGAUAUAAUCCAUUUAACUUAAUUCAAAUGAGGUUCCAACUUAAAAAUAUAUGGCAAUAGAGUUGUUAACUUAGACCAGAUCAAAAGGCGGGCCAGGCCGGGGCAUAAAAUUUGUCCAUUAUGUCGGGUCAGGCCGGGCAGGGCCAAACUUCAGGCCGAUUUUUUGUGCCCAAAACCCGUUAUUUCGGGCCAAAAAUAGCGGGCUUUUCGUGCCAUUUUCGGGCCUGCGUAAAUUUAUAACUAAAAUUGUUGUUUUAUGUUGCCCAAAACCCGCAAGAUUUUUAAAAAGUUCGGGCCGGGCCGGGCCGGAAAAUUCUGCCCAAAACCCGGUAAUUUUCGGGUCGGGCCAGCGGUCCUGGCCAUUGUUGAUCAGCUCUAAGUUAACUCCCUCUUCUUUUAUUAUCAAGGUGGGAAAAUCACAAUGUGAUGUUUUGUGGAUCACAUCUUAACAAAACCAGAACAAGGAGAAGUUAAAGUAUACGAAGUACGGAGCAUUUAGAAUUUAAAGAUAUGCGAAGUAUUAUAAAAAGGUUUAAUAACAUAACAAUUUCCUUAAAAAGAGCUGAAACCAAAGUUAUCGAAAACACCCUUAAUAUGUUUUGCUCGCCAAUUACCGAAAUUGACUGGGCGGAGCUCAUUUAACAGGAAAUUAAGUUUUUUUUUUUUUUUUUAGUAAUGGCAAACUGGUAAUUAUAAAGUAGUACGGAGUAUAUUAAUAAACAAACCCAAAGCCAGCUCCUUUCUUUUUUAUUAGUAAUGGCAAAUUGGUAAUAAUUAUGAAGUAGUAUCUAAUAAACAAACCCAGAAGCCAGCUCCUCGCGCAUCAUGCUCGUUCUUUCUCUUCAACUUGGUCUGCCACUCUCUCUUUCUAGACUUUGAAAAUCCCAAAAACAAUCCACUAAUCCUAAAGGUUUCCACUUGUUCUCAUCCAAUUCAAAGAAUUUUCCACCAACAGUUGAGCCCAAAAGAAGUAAAAGUUAUAAUGGCGUCGCCAAGAAUCGGAAUGGUGCAUCUACUCAUUGCAUUGCUUGCCACGAGGAUUCUUGCUGAAAAUAUCCGAUUUCGGAUGGAGU
This is an RNA transcript of Spinacia oleracea (spinach), 2448 nucleotides long. It is a transcript of the gene named mannose/glucose-specific lectin, with no coding region annotated. The record is from RefSeq and is a predicted model, not a curated record. Lineage: Eukaryota; Viridiplantae; Streptophyta; Magnoliopsida; Caryophyllales; Amaranthaceae. The transcript is spliced from 6 exons.